This 1250-nucleotide ribosomal RNA is filed under the name Chama aspersa. RNAcentral describes it as "SSU rRNA". It matches the Rfam family "Eukaryotic small subunit ribosomal RNA", at positions 600 to 1802 of the family's 1831-position model. The record is from RNAcentral. Lineage: Eukaryota; Metazoa; Mollusca; Bivalvia; Venerida; Chamidae.
CGUAACUAAGUUGCUGCGGUUAAAAAGCUCGUAGUUGGAUCUCGACGGCGGGCGCGAGGUGCGUCCAGGGCGGCGUUCACUUUGCGUCGCAGCCUCUCCGUUCGGCUCAGCGUCCCCUGGUGCUCUUGACCGGGCGUCCAGGGGCGGCCGAAACGUUUACUUUGAAGAAAUUGGAGUGCUCAAAGCAGGCAAACCCACGCCUGGACAAUGGUGCAUGGAAUAAUGGAAUAGGACCUCGGUUCUAUUUUGCUGGUCUUCGGAGCUCGAGGUAAUGAUUAAAAGGGACUGCCGGGGGCAUUCGUACUGCGGCGCGAGAGGUGAAAUUCCGGGACCGUCGCAAGACGAACGAGAGCGAAAGCAUUUGCCAAGAAUGUCCCCAUUAAUCAAGAACGAAAGUCAGAGGUUCGAAGACGAUCAGAUACCGUCGUAGUUCUGACCGUAAACCAUGCCAACCGUCGAUCCGCCGAAGCUCUGGGUGUACGGCUCGUGCACAACAAUGACUCGGCGGGCAGUCUCCGGGAAACCAGAGUUUUUGGGUUCCGGGGGGAGUAUGGUUGCAAAGCUGAAACUUAAAGGAAUUGACGGAAGGGCACCACCAGGAGUGGAGCCUGUGGCUUAAUUUGACUCAACACGGGGAACCUCACCCGGCCCGGACACCGGAAGGAUUGACAGAUUAAUGGCUCUUUCUUGAUUCGGUGGGUGGUGGUGCAUGGCCGUUCUUAGUUGGUGGAGCGAUUUGUCUGGUUAAUUCCGAUAACGAACGAGACUCUAGCCUGCUAAAUAGUUCCGCGGGCUCCUCAGCGACCCGCUCUCAAGAGAACUUCUUAGAGGGACUGGUGGCGCGUCGUAGCCACACGAGAUUGAGCAAUAACAGGUCUGUGAUGCCCUUAGAUGUUCGGGGCCGCACAUGCGCUACAAUGGAUGGAUCAGCGUGCGUCACGCCCGGCCCGAAAGGGUUCGGGAAACCCACUGAACCCCAUUCGUACCUGGGAUUGGGGCUUGCAAUUGUUCCCCAUGAACUCGGAAUUCCCAGUAGGCGCGAGUCAUCAGCUCGCGCCGAUUACGUCCCUGCCCUUUGUACACACCGCCCGUCGCUAGUACCGAUCGAUCCGGUUGAUGAGCCCUUCGGAUUGGUCCCUUGGGCCCGUCGUCGUUCGCUUCUUCGGGGGUGGCGGCGUGGGCUCUCGGAUGUUGCCGAGAAGAUGGGCGAAUUUCCCGGGUUAGAGGUCCUAAAAGUCGUAACAAGGUAU